UACGGAAGGCAGCAGUGGGGAAUAUUGCACAAUGGGUGCAAGCCUGAUGCAGCCAUGCCGCGUGUAUGAAGAAGGCCUUCGGGUUGUAAAGUACUUUCAGUCGUGAGGAAGGUGUUAAGGUUAAUAACCUUAGCAAUUGACGUUAGCGACAGAAGAAGCACCGGCUAACUCCGUGCCAGCAGCCGCGGUAAUACGGAGGGUGCGAGCGUUAAUCGGAAUUACUGGGCGUAAAGGGCACGCAGGCGGUUAAUUAAGUUGGAUGUGAAAUCCCCGGGCUUAACCUGGGAAUGGCAUUCAAGACUGGUUAGCUAGAGUCUUGUAGAGGGGGUAGAAUUCCAUGUGUAGCGGUGAAAUGCGUAGAGAUGUGGAGGAAUACCGGUGGCGAAGGCGGCCCCUGGACAAAGACUGACGCUCAUGUGCGAAAGCGUGGGGAGCAAACAGGGAUUAGAUACC
RNAcentral lists this ribosomal RNA (453 nucleotides) under uncultured bacterium. Its description in RNAcentral is "bacterial SSU rRNA". It matches the Rfam family "Bacterial small subunit ribosomal RNA", at positions 340 to 786 of the family's 1533-position model. The record is from RNAcentral.